Molecule: transfer RNA, 61 nt
Filed under: Laccoptera ruginosa
Lineage: Eukaryota; Metazoa; Arthropoda; Insecta; Coleoptera; Chrysomelidae
Description: tRNA-Glu
Source: RNAcentral
AUUUAUAUAGUUUAAAAAAAACAUUACAUUUUCAUUGUAAAAUUGAUUAAUUCUAUAAAUA